AAGAAAAGAUUUAAAUAACAAGAAAACCUGGAGUUGAGCAGCACCUAAAGAUCAGUGAGCAGCUCCAACAUGAUUGUACAGAAGAGCUAACAGGCACUGGAAGUCUAGAGAACAGGCAGAGAUACCCCCUGCACUGUGUAAAAUUAUGAAAAAUGUAUCCAUGAGGUCCUGCUAUCGCAGUGGUAGAAGACUCAAGCCAGGACUUUUAGAGCUUGUAGGUGCUGAGGUAAUCAGGAAUGCUUUCACCAAUAUUCCAGUCCUCUGUCUGAGCACACGGUGAGACGGAACUUCUCAGCUGCCUCAAAGGAUGAAGGAGGAGGCUCCCUCAGCCUGGUUAUCUGGGUGGAGAUGAUACAGAGCAAAG
This 364-nucleotide long non-coding RNA is filed under the name Homo sapiens (human). RNAcentral's name for it is "non-protein coding lnc-ANP32D-1:1". Lineage: Eukaryota; Metazoa; Chordata; Mammalia; Primates; Hominidae. The record is from RNAcentral.